This 301-nucleotide ribosomal RNA is filed under the name uncultured bacterium. RNAcentral describes it as "partial 16S ribosomal RNA". It matches the Rfam family "Bacterial small subunit ribosomal RNA", at positions 509 to 807 of the family's 1533-position model. The record is from RNAcentral.
CAGUCGCCGCGGUAAUACAGAGGGUGCAAGCGUUAAUCGGAAUUACUGGGCGUAAAGCGCGCGUAGGUGGUUCGCCAAGUUGGAUGUGAAAUCCCCGGGCUCAACCUGGGAACUGCAUCCAAAACUGGCGAGCUAGAGUAUAAUAGAGGGUGGUGGAAUUUCCUGUGUAGCGGUGAAAUGCGUAGAUAUAGGAAGGAACAUCAGUGGCGAAGGCGACCACCUGGACUGAUACUGACACUGAGGUGCGAAAGCGUGGGGAGCAAACAGGAUUAGAUACCCCUGUAGUCCCUGUCUCUUAUAC